Non-coding RNA from Labrus bergylta (ballan wrasse), 696 nucleotides. NCBI's taxonomy places the organism in Eukaryota, Metazoa, Chordata, Actinopteri, Labriformes, Labridae. The record is from RefSeq and is a predicted model, not a curated record.
UCCUUAUUCAAUCUGGUGAAGAAAUGAAAAGAGGAGUUUGUCUGACUGUCAACCUACGAGCACCAAACACGUGGAGGACUGUACACACACCUGUGGAGGAUGUAGAGGACCAUCUCUUUGCUUCCUGCACUGGCAGCGUGGUGACGUAACCUGCAGCCGGACGAGUCGAGUGACGUGAGGUCGGCUCCCUCCAGGUGCGGCUCCCUCCCUCCAGGUGCAGCUCCCUCCAGGUGCGGCUCCUGCAGCUGAUGAUUCAAUUCAAAGACACAUGGGCAGCCUGACCAAAACAAGACAAAGAGCUGUUAACAUGUAUGCUACACCACGCUGCCUCACCUGCUUCCUUCAACAUUUGGUGUUUCCUCGCUCUGAACUCUGAAGAGUAGGAUCUGUGCUGCAGCUGGAAGGAUUUUCUUUAGAUUAAAGUUUACUUGUUAGCUGUUUUAGUUUUCUCAGUCAUAGUUUGUUGUUCUUAUCUUUCAGCUAUAGAUUUAGUUUUAAGUCUGUUUUCUUUAAUUUUCAUUUGCAGUUUUCUCUUAACACACUUUGAUAAUACAAUUUAAUAAUUUUAAAGUCUUAAUUUGUUUCAUGUUUGUGUUGUCAGCAUCUUCAAUUCCUAAUAGAUGUUUUGUUGUAGUUGUUUCCUUCUUUGUCACAAAGCUGUGACAUGUCUUCAUUUGAAGUUUGGAUUUUUUUAUA